UGAGUUGCCGGGGCGGCCGCUCUUUCCAACGAGCCCGGGGGCAACUUCGGGGGAGGAGGAGGGGGAGGAAAGUCCGGACUCCACGGGUCAGGGUGGUUGCUAACGGCAACCGGCCGCGAGGCUAGGGAAAGUGCCACAGAAAACAAACCGCCAACCCCGGGUUUCGGCCCGGGCGGCAAGGGUGAAACGGUGCGGUAAGAGCGCACCGCGGUCCUGGUGACAGGGCUGGCAGGGUAAACCCCACCCGGAGAAAGACCAAAUAGGGAAGGCGCAUGACGAUGACCCGCGUCCAUGCCUUCCGGGUAGGUCGUUCGAGGCCGGAGGCGACUCCGGUCCCAGAGAAAUGGUCGCCGCCCACCGGCCUCAAAUCCGGCGGGUACAGAAUCCGGCUUACAAGGCAACUCACGUC
This 409-nucleotide RNase P RNA is filed under the name Planctomycetota bacterium. RNAcentral describes it as "Planctomycetes bacterium (activated sludge metagenome) RNase P RNA component class A". It matches the Rfam family "Bacterial RNase P class A". Rfam says of the family: Ribonuclease P (RNase P) is a ubiquitous endoribonuclease, found in archaea, bacteria and eukarya as well as chloroplasts and mitochondria. Lineage: Bacteria; Pseudomonadati; Planctomycetota. The record is from RNAcentral.